AGUGAACGCUGGCGGUAGGCCUAACACAUGCAAGUCGAACGGCAGCACAGUAAGAGCUUGCUCUUACGGGUGGCGAGUGGCGGACGGGUGAGGAAUACAUCGGAAUCUACUUUUUCGUGGGGGAUAACGUAGGGAAACUUACGCUAAUACCGCAUACGACCUACGGGUGAAAGCAGGGGAUCUUCGGACCUUGCGCGAUUGAAUGAGCCGAUGUCGGAUUAGCUAGUUGGCGGGGUAAAGGCCCACCACGGCGACGAUCCGUAGCUGGUCUGAGAGGAUGAUCAGCCACACUGGAACUGAGACACGGUCCAGACUCCUACGGGAGGCAGCAGUGGGGAAUAUUGGACAAAGGGCGCAAGCCUGAUCCAGCCAUACCGCGUGGGUGAAGAAGGCCUUCGGGUUGUAAAGCCCUUUUGUUGGGAAAGAAAAGCAGCAGGUUAAUACCCCGCUGUUCUGACGGUACCCAAAGAAUAAGCACCGGCUAACUUCGUG
This 492-nucleotide ribosomal RNA is filed under the name uncultured bacterium. RNAcentral describes it as "partial 16S ribosomal RNA". It matches the Rfam family "Bacterial small subunit ribosomal RNA", at positions 29 to 507 of the family's 1533-position model. The record is from RNAcentral.